This 69-nucleotide transfer RNA is filed under the name Rattus norvegicus (Norway rat). It matches the Rfam family "tRNA". Rfam says of the family: Transfer RNA (tRNA) molecules are approximately 80 nucleotides in length. Their secondary structure includes four short double-helical elements and three loops (D, anti-codon, and T loops). The record is from Rfam by way of RNAcentral. Lineage: Eukaryota; Metazoa; Chordata; Mammalia; Rodentia; Muridae.
GGGGAUUUGGCUCAGUGGUAGAGCGCUUGCCUAGCAAGCACAAGACCCUGGGUUCAGUCCCCAGCUCCG